RNAcentral lists this ribosomal RNA (392 nucleotides) under uncultured bacterium. RNAcentral's name for it is "partial 16S ribosomal RNA". It matches the Rfam family "Bacterial small subunit ribosomal RNA", at positions 523 to 918 of the family's 1533-position model. The record is from RNAcentral.
AUACGGAGGAUCCGAGCGUUAUCCGGAUUUAUUGGGUUUAAAGGGUGCGCAGGCGGCCAUUUAAGUCAGCGGUUAAAUCGUGGGGCUCAACCCCAUUCUGCCGUUGAUACUGGGUGGCUUGAUUGCGGUCGAGGUUGGCGGAAUUCGUUGUGUAGCGGUGAAAUGCAUAGAUAUGACGAAGAACACCGAUUGCGUAGGCAGCUGACCAGACCGCAAAUGACGCUCAUGCACGAAAGUGCGGGGAUCGAACAGGAUUAGAUACCCUGGUAGUCCGCACAGUAAACGAUGAAUACUUGUUUUCGGCGAUAUAAUGUCGGAGGCAAAGCGAAAGCGAUAAGUAUUCCACCUGGGGAGUACGCCGGCAACGGUUAAACUCAAAUGAAUUGACGGGG